This 253-nucleotide ribosomal RNA is filed under the name uncultured bacterium. RNAcentral describes it as "partial 16S ribosomal RNA". It matches the Rfam family "Bacterial small subunit ribosomal RNA", at positions 524 to 776 of the family's 1533-position model. The record is from RNAcentral.
UACGUAGGGUGCGAGCGUUAAUCGGAAUUACUGGGCGUAAAGCGUACGCAGGCGGCUGCGCAAGACAGGUGUGAAAUCCCCAGGCUUAACCUGGGAACUGCAUUCGAGACUGCAUUGCUAGAGUAUGGGAGAGGGAAGUGGAAUUUCCGGUGUAGCGGUGAAAUGCGUAGAUAUCGGAAGGAACAUCAGUGGCGAAAGCGACUUCCUGGACCAAUACUGACGCUCAUGUGCGAAAGCGUGGGGAGCAAACAGG